RNAcentral lists this ribosomal RNA (917 nucleotides) under uncultured Ascomycota. Its description in RNAcentral is "eukaryotic LSU rRNA". The stretch from base 273 to 917 matches the Rfam family "Eukaryotic large subunit ribosomal RNA", at positions 1 to 664 of the family's 3401-position model. Lineage: Eukaryota; Fungi; Ascomycota. The record is from RNAcentral.
AUCGAUGAAGAACGCAGCGAAAUGCGAUAAGUAAUGUGAAUUGCAGAAUUCAGUGAAUCAUCGAAUCUUUGAACGCACAUUGCGCCCUCUGGUAUUCCGGGGGGCAUGCCUGUUCGAGCGUCAUUACAACCCUCAAGCUCUGCUUGGUAUUGGGCGUCACCACCUGGUGCGCCUCAAAAACAGUGGCGGUGCCGUCUGGCUUCAAGCGUAGUAAUUUCUCUCGCUCCGGAGUCCAGGCGAGUGCUCGCCAGAACCCCCAAUUUAUCAAAGGUUGACCUCGGAUCAGGUAGGGAUACCCGCUGAACUUAAGCAUAUCAAUAAGCGGAGGAAAAGAAACCAACAGGGAUUGCCUCAGUAACGGCGAGUGAAGCGGCAAAAGCUCAAAUUUGAAAUCUGGCCUCACGGUCCGAGUUGUAAUUUGUAGAGGAUGUUUCGAACGUGGUCCGGUCUAAGUUCCUUGGAACAGGACGUCAUAGAGGGUGAGAAUCCCGUAUGUGCCCGGGUGCCAUUGUUCAUGUGAAGCUCCUUCGACGAGUCGAGUUGUUUGGGAAUGCAGCUCAAAAUGGGUGGUAAAUUUCAUCUAAAGCUAAAUACUGGCCAGAGACCGAUAGCGCACAAGUAGAGUGAUCGAAAGAUGAAAAGCACUUUGGAAAGAGAGUUAAACAGUACGUGAAAUUGUUGAAAGGGAAGCGCUUGCAAUCAGACUUGCAUGCAGUCGAUCAUCCGAUGUUCUCACCGGUGCACUCGAUUGUAUUCAGGCCAGCAUCGGUUUUGGUGGUUGGAUAAAGGCCUCAGGAACGUGGCUCCUCUCGGGGAGUGUUAUAGCCUGAGGUGCAAUGCAGCCUACUGGGACCGAGGACCGCGCUUCGGCUAGGAUGCUGGCGUAAUGGUUGUAAGCGACCCGUCUUGAAACACGG